Molecule: ribosomal RNA, 326 nt
Filed under: uncultured bacterium
Lineage: Bacteria
Description: bacterial SSU rRNA
Rfam family: Bacterial small subunit ribosomal RNA
Source: RNAcentral
AAUGAACGCUGGCGGCGUGCUUAACACAUGCAAGUCGAACGAGAACGGGAUUGCUUGCAAUCCUUAUUAAAGUGGCGCACGGGUGAGUAACACGUGGAUAACCUACCUUAUGUUCCGGAACAACAUUGCGAAAGCGAUGCUAAUACCGGAUGAUGUUUAAAUUUCUUCGGAAUUUUAAAUGAAAGAUUGCCUCUGCUUGCAUGCAAUUGACAUGGGAUGGGUCCGCGUACCAUUAGCUAGCUGGUGGGGUAAUGGCCUACCAGGGCGACGAUGGUUAGCUGGUCUGAGAGGAUGAUCAGCCACACUGGAACUGACACACGGUCCAG